UUGUUUGUCAAUGAGGACAAAAUUGACAACGAAGUGAAAUGGGCUAAAGUCUAUGUGCAGAAUGAUACUGAUUCAUGUGGAGUUCAUGUUAUCUCUUGGCUACAAGAGUGGGAUGGCACCGUUCGGGAUGAUGCAGGAUAUACAAUGCCACGAUACUCUAAUGAUGAGCUACAAGAUUUGAAGGUUGGCUGUUUGUGGUGGUUGGUAACCCAUCCAAGUAAUGAACAUGGGAGUGAAGUGAUGUCGAUGCUAUCGGACUACAAUAAGACCAAGAAGAGGAGAUAGAGUAGUCUAUGAAUUUUUUGUUCUCUUAGCCCAUGAUAUGUGUUGUUAAGAUGAUUAGCAAAUAGGUCAUUUUGUAACAAACUGAUCAGGUUAUGUUUAUAAUAUUAUUACCUUUGUCAUCA
Molecule: long non-coding RNA, 407 nt
Organism: Neltuma alba
Lineage: Eukaryota; Viridiplantae; Streptophyta; Magnoliopsida; Fabales; Fabaceae
Exons: 2
Source: RefSeq, a predicted model, not a curated record